CAACAUCCCCCAACCCCUCCCCCUUCCCUUCUAUAUGGGCUUCCCCUCCCCACCCUCCCCCCAUUACCGCCCUCCCCCCAACAAUCACGUUCACUGGGGGUUCAGUCUUGGCAGGAGCAAGGGCUUCCCCUUCCACUGGUGCUCUUACUAGGCCAUUCAUUGCUACCUAUGAGGUUGGAGCCCAGAGUGAGGUAAAUUUUUUAAUUACUUGUAUCUAUGCAUAAUUUACGCCUUGGUGCAUCAUUUUUACCUGGAGACUUGGGUGAUCUCUGCCAUCUGUGGUAUCAGAUCUGUUAUAAACCAGUCCGGAAGGCAAACUCCAUGAGCUGUUCUUGUCAGCAACAGGACAUACUAGCAUGUCCUAGUAUUUCAUGGACCAAGUGACUGAUUAUCACAAAUCUCUCUCCUGUCUUUCCCAUCUCCCAGGUACCAUCUAUGCUCCUCGAAGGAAAGGACAGUUGUCAGCAGACAUUUGCAUGGAGACAAUCGGGGAGGAGAUCUCAGAGAUGCGUCAGAUGAAGAGGGGUGUAUUUCAGCGAGUAGUGGCCAUUUUUAUCCACUACUGUGAUGUCAACGGAGAGCCAGUUGAAGAUGACUACAUUUAAAUAGACCUUUCCUGGCUCUUCUGGCCCG
Molecule: long non-coding RNA, 633 nt
Filed under: Rattus norvegicus (Norway rat)
Lineage: Eukaryota; Metazoa; Chordata; Mammalia; Rodentia; Muridae
Description: long non-coding RNA NONRATT013863
Source: RNAcentral